RNAcentral lists this transfer RNA (64 nucleotides) under Anemina arcaeformis. Its description in RNAcentral is "tRNA-Glu". The record is from RNAcentral. Lineage: Eukaryota; Metazoa; Mollusca; Bivalvia; Unionida; Unionidae.
GCUAAUUAGGUGUUCUAUGCACGUUGACUUUUCACGUCAAAAGAGCACAUUAGUGCAUUUAGCU